Gambusia affinis (western mosquitofish) is the source of this 546-nucleotide non-coding RNA. The record is from the annotation of a RefSeq genome assembly. Lineage: Eukaryota; Metazoa; Chordata; Actinopteri; Cyprinodontiformes; Poeciliidae.
AGAACAUGUAGAGCUGAUCUCCAUGUGACUGACUGUGUGUGUUUGCAUAUGUGUCCUGCCUCUCUGCUCCAGCUGUUAAGAGGUCAGAGUUGAUCAGUGGCUGUCCAGACCUUUCAGAGCCACUGACACACCAGCAGCACAAUGAUGAUGUCACUGACUCUACUGCUGACCAUCCUGGGGCUCCUGGUUCAGGGGUCUUCAGGACAAGUCACCAUAACUCAGACUCCUGGAUCUCAAUCCGUUGUUCCAGGACAGUCUGUCUCUAUUCAAUGUAAAGUCAGUCCAAGUACAGGCUACUGUUUCAGCUGGUACCUUCAGAAACCAGGAAAAGUUCCAAAACUCCUUAUUACCUGCUCAAGCACCCGUCAUUCUGGAACCCCUGAUCGUUUCAGUGGAUCAAAGUCUGGGGAUACUGACUUCACUCUGACCAUCAGUGGAGUUCAGGCUGAAGAUGCUGCAGUUUAUUACUGUCAGAGUUUUCAUGUCAUCAACGGCCAGCAAGUGUUCACACAGUGAAAAACAGUCAUACAAAAACCUCCCUCAGUC